AACCGAUAAAGGCAAACCUAACGAAAGUUGGGGACGCAAAGCUACAGGGCCUUCCUUAGUUAACUAAGAUGGCAGCCAGUUACCGAA
Molecule: non-coding RNA, 87 nt
Filed under: Paenibacillus sp.
Lineage: Bacteria; Bacillati; Bacillota; Bacilli; Caryophanales; Paenibacillaceae
Also listed under: 1 other name
Description: c-di-GMP sequence
Rfam family: c-di-GMP-I riboswitch aptamer
About the family: GEMM was predicted in a large-scale screen for bacterial structured RNA regulatory elements. Genes associated with GEMM are involved in a diverse array of functions, including chemotaxis regulation, signal transduction, secretion and chitin.
Source: RNAcentral